This 491-nucleotide ribosomal RNA is filed under the name uncultured bacterium. Its description in RNAcentral is "partial 16S ribosomal RNA". It matches the Rfam family "Bacterial small subunit ribosomal RNA", at positions 28 to 507 of the family's 1533-position model. The record is from RNAcentral.
GAUGAACGCUAGCUGCAGGCUUAACACAUGCAAGUCGAGCGGAAACGCCAUUGAAGCUUGCUUCGAUGUUCGUCAACCGGCGCACGGGUGAGUAACCCGUAUCCAACCUGCCUCUAACCAAGGGUUAACCCGUCGAAAGUCGGCCUAAUACCUUAUGCAGUCCUCGGAAGUCGUCUGAUGACGACGAAAGAUUUCAUCGGUGAGUGAUGGGGCUGCGUCUGAUUAGCUUGUUGGCGGGGUAACGGCCGACCAAGGCCACGAUCAGUAGGGCUGCUGAGAGGAAGGUCCCCCAUAUUGGAACAGAGACACGGUCCAAACUCCUACGGGAGGGAGCAGUGAGGAAUAGGGGGCAAUGGGCGGGAGCCUGAAACAGCCAAGUAGAGUGCAGGAUGACGGCGCUAUGGGUGGUAAACUGCUUUUAGGCGGGGAAAAAGUGAGGGACGUGGCCGUUAUUGCAGGUACCGGAUGAAUAAGGACCGGCUAAUUCCGUG